RNAcentral lists this ribosomal RNA (328 nucleotides) under Cryptococcus sp. AT83-9 Y1. RNAcentral describes it as "LSU rRNA". It matches the Rfam family "Eukaryotic large subunit ribosomal RNA", at positions 331 to 670 of the family's 3401-position model. The record is from RNAcentral. Lineage: Eukaryota; Fungi; Basidiomycota; Tremellomycetes; Tremellales; Cryptococcaceae.
AGACCGAUAGCGAACAAGUACCGUGAGGGAAAGAUGAAAAGCACUUUGGAAAGAGAGUUAAACAGUACGUGAAAUUGUUGAAAGGGAAACGAUUGAAGUCAGUCAUGCUCUUGGGUCUUCGGACCCUUGAGUGGGGUCAACAUCAGUUUUGAUCGAUGGAUAAAGGCACGAGGAAGGUAGCACCCUCGGGUGAACUUAUAGCCUCGCGUCAUAUACAUUGAUUGGGACUGAGGAACGCAGCAUGCCUUUUGGCCGGGAUUCGUCCACGUACAUGCUUAGGAUGUUGACAUAAUGGCUUUAAACGACCCGUCUUGAAACACGGACCAAG